GAAGAAGAAAAGUGAUUUUUGAGAUGAAUACUACUUGGAGCUCAAGUUAUUGAUUCUUGAAUUUCUAUCUACAUUAAGAUAGUAGCUGAGUUGAGCACUACUGGGCCAGUUGAUCUAUCGAGUUGAACAAAAAAUUGUCAAGCAUUGUAUGAAUCAUCUUUUCAGUUUAAUAGUUCAUAUUUUGGGAUAGACACCUCUUUUGAUCAGAAACUAGUUUCAU
Molecule: long non-coding RNA, 220 nt
Organism: Olea europaea var. sylvestris
Lineage: Eukaryota; Viridiplantae; Streptophyta; Magnoliopsida; Lamiales; Oleaceae
Exons: 3
Source: RefSeq, a predicted model, not a curated record